GGGAGUUUCCAAAUGUGAUGGAGUUUCCAGCCAUGUUGGAGUUUCCAAAUGUGAUGGGAUUUCCAAAUGUGAUGGGAGUUUCCAGCCAUGUUGGAGUUUCCAAAUGUGAUGGGAGUUUCCAAAUGUGAUGGAGUUUCCAGCCAUGUUGGAGUUUCCAAAUGUGAUGGGAUUUCCAACCGUGUUGGAGUUUCCAAAUGUGAUGGGAGUUUCCAAAUGUGAUGGGAGUUUCCAAAUGUGAUGGGAGUUUCCAAAUGUGAUGGGAGUUUCCAACCGUGUUGGAGUUUCUAGCCACAUAUGUGUACUUUUUUAGAGCUCCAUCACUCCACUCCUUUCGAUAAAUUGAACAGAGUCAUCAUUAAGAUCAGAUGGGCUUCACUUACGUCCUUCGCCCUUCCUACUGAAUAGAAAUGAACUAAACCAAACAUUUGUGGCGGGUUCCAUGUGUGGCUUUCGAUCAUUUAUUUGGAUUCCUCAUGUCUAAAUCAUUGUUAGAAAAAGUUUGGGCCAAAUUGGAUGUUAGGUACUAUAUUAAUUCAAUAUUAUAUGAAUCCUAUAAAUUAAAAUGGCACAUUUUUUG
RNAcentral lists this long non-coding RNA (577 nucleotides) under Salmo salar (Atlantic salmon). Its description in RNAcentral is "lncRNA (ENSSSAG00000094249.1)". The record is from RNAcentral. Lineage: Eukaryota; Metazoa; Chordata; Actinopteri; Salmoniformes; Salmonidae.